GGAUAAUGGGAGUAGUAAGGCCUCAGGAUGCUGUGCUGGGCCCAACAGACUUCUUUCAAAGAUCCACUCCUAGGUCCUUGAGGCAGUUUCCAGGCUCCCAGGAAACCUAGCUGGACUCUUGGCAUGCAGAUGGUGAACAUCUCAGAAAGUUGCAGAAGCCCAUGGAGCUGUGUGAAGACUCUGCAUCCAUCCAUCCUCCAGUUACUUUCAUGUUCCUU
Long non-coding RNA from Rattus rattus (black rat), 218 nucleotides. RefSeq lists it as uncharacterized. The transcript is spliced from 3 exons. The record is from RefSeq and is a predicted model, not a curated record. Lineage: Eukaryota; Metazoa; Chordata; Mammalia; Rodentia; Muridae.